This 253-nucleotide ribosomal RNA is filed under the name uncultured bacterium. RNAcentral describes it as "partial 16S ribosomal RNA". It matches the Rfam family "Bacterial small subunit ribosomal RNA", at positions 524 to 776 of the family's 1533-position model. The record is from RNAcentral.
UACGGAGGGUGCAAGCGUUAUCCGGAUUCACUGGGUUUAAAGGGUGCGUAGGUGGGCAGGUAAGUCAGUGGUGAAAUCUCCGAGCUUAACUCGGAAACUGCCGUUGAUACUAUUUGUCUUGAAUAUUGUGGAGGUAAGCGGAAUAUGUCAUGUAGCGGUGAAGUGCUUAGAUAUGACAUAGAACACCAAUUGCGAAGGCAGCUUACUACACAACGAUUGACGCUGAGGCACGAAAGCGUGGGGAUCAAACAGG